CAGCGUCCCCAGAUCUGGAGAGCCACCAGGAGUACAACAACAAGCGUGAGAGGCGGCGACCGCGGGACAAGCACUAUCCUCGACCAGAUCGGUGUCUGGCACAGGGGCUCGGGGUGGUUGUGGCGGCGGCCUCUUCAGCGGUGUCACCCAACGAGCUCCACGCGCGGGGGAGGCAUCUCCACUGCCCACGCCAUCACGUUCCCUCGCCGAUGCCGGCCUCGUCGCAGAAGAGGGCUAGCCCGCCCGUGCCUCCGGUCAAGUUGCGUUUGGAGGUGAGGGGGGCAACCGCGCCUAGAGGAGGUUGUCCCCAAUGCCCGAAUCCUCUCAUCGUUGAACUUGCCCACAUAGUAGGUCACCGCCGCUGGCUGAAUUCGCCCAGGUCGGCACCAUGCCCGUCUGCCCGCAACUCAUCCUUCCUGAAGAUGAGCAGAUAGGUAUCAUGAAGCUUCCUCCUUUCAGGUCAACCAUUUCCCAUUAUGUUUUCCGUUCAAUUUAUGAUUUUGUGGUGAUAUGGACAAAAUCUCCAUCUUUCUUUUUGGAUAUUAUACUUUUUCUAUGGCUACAAGGUGUUUAAUAAUAAUUCAACCAGGCAGCUGUAGAGGUUCACUGAAUAAUUUUUCCGUUGACAUCCUUAACUAGCUACUAGAGAUGUAUUACUGUAUUAUAUCAAUAUGUUGCAAUUUUCUUAAAUUCUGAUGUUCUGUGCACGAAUUGGAUCACUUCUGUUGGGCCUUCUUGUUGGUUGGUAAUAUACUGGUUCUUUUUGUGUAGGAUUAUUUGGUGUAGCAAGAAUGAUAGAGUUCUAGGCUGAAGCAAAGAAUGGACAGGGAAAUGGUUGCCUCAUAUGACCAAACUGAAUUUUGAAAUAAUAAUUUUUUGAGAGUUCAGAUGAGAUAGUAACAAAUCUGGCUAGGUAUAUCUCGCAAGUUUCAGAAAUCUCUGCUAAAUAAAGUGGAUUCUUCACCAGUGCCCUAUCUGGAGGGCCCCUUGUCAUUUUUUGCGACAAUGAAUUUUCUAUUCUUUGUUAGCCAUAUGCCAUAUUGUUUCUACACACUGAUUUCAAUACAGUAUGCUUUAUUACAUUUGAAGUAUCUUGUUUUUAAUUUAUGAAAGGAAACUUUGUGAAGCAUCGUACAACAAUACCCUGGAUUGGUUUAAAUGGUAUAUAUUUUUGGUCUGAUGAAUGUGCUAUAGCAAAGAACCAUGCAAGCAGUAACUAUAAGUUAACAAAAGAAGGAUUUCUAUCAAAGCUAUGUGGACUUUAGGAGGAAAUUCGCAAUACAGUCUAAAGCAAAACUACGGAUGUCCAUGGGUUUUCCCCUCAACAUUUUGCUUGUUUUGCAUCUAUUAGUUUCUGGAUAUUUUUUUGCGUGAGUUUCAUUUACUCUAUGCUUAUGAGAUGAUAGUUAUACCUUGCAUGCGAUCCAUGAUACAUAAUGUUGUUUCUUCACACUAUUUCUGUUAAAACCUACACUUGUUCAGUAUAUGAACUCAAGUAGCCAAUAGCAAUAGGGUCAUUCAGGUUUUCCUUUUUCUCUUAUAGUAUAUGAAGUGCAUAUAUUUUUAAAUCAUUACAUUGAUGUCGCCGACAGUGCCGCCAUACAUGUUCCUUCCGUCGUUGUCGUCUAAAGGUAGAUAAAAUGCUCGAUUAGAUGAUCCCAGGUCUCUCUCUCUCAUCAAAUUUGAGAACAUGUUUUCAGGUCUUACAACAUAUAUAUCACACGAUCAUCUAUUAUUAUGGUCACAAUUUGAUCUCAUGACAGAAAUUAAAUGAAGGGGGGCAACUGGUUGGAGGAGGGAAACAAGUAAUAUAUUUUUCCUUCCUUUAUUUGCACCCUCUAAAAGGAUGCCAUUCCUGUGGUAGGUUGGUGAGUAACCAAGGUAUGUAUAAGAUAACAAUGGGUUUCCUAGACAAGUAUGGUCCUGAUAGAGUUCUCGAUACACCAAUCACAUAGGUUAUAAACUUAAACCCUUAAAGUAAUCAUUCGUAUAUGUCGUAAGUUGUAAGAUUUGUAUGAUAAGUUUUGGAGUUUAUGUAGUGCCAAUAUGCUUUUGUUUUGUUCAAGCUGGUUUUACUGACAUUGACGUGGUGCUGCCUACCAUGGUUAGGCUUGUAGUAUAGUUCAUGAAAUUUAACUUGCCGGUGCAUAAUUAUGAGAUGAUAGUCAUUUCACUUUCAAAAAUUCCUUAAAAUGUCAGUUUAUUGAAUAACCUCAUUAUAUGGCUGCGUUGAUAUUUCUCACUACUAGUGUUCUAAGCAGCUUAAGUUACAAUGGUUGUGCUGACACUAUGUACUUCUUGGAAGGAGGGCCCGAUGCAUGAAAAGAUAUAUUAUGCUUAUUACUAUAGUUAGUGCGUAGACAAGCUUUGCGUUAGUGACUGCAUUCACCAACUAACUAUCCUGUAUUGUUAGAAGCCAUUCAUGUGAUAUCAUUUGCUAAGAAGCGUUGAAAAUGCUAAGGAAGAUGACGAGAGCUUGCUGAUGAUAUUGGGGUCAUUAAAUUAAUCAGGCAACACUUAUUUGCUACUCCCCGUUCCAUAAUAUAAGAUAUUAUUAUUACAACCUAUUACCACAGAUCCUCGUGUUUUGUUCGACAACAACCGUGAUGGAACCGUUGACAUGAGGGAGGUCCUUUGCGGGCUGUCCAGCCCGGGGAACUCACAGGGCGAUGAUGUCGUGGGCUCUACUUUUAGAUGUACGAUGCCGAUCGAUCAAACAUCAACAACAAGUAGGAGCUGGCAUCGAUGCUUCGAGGUUUUUGAUUAUUCUAAGAACAACCUUUUGGAGUUUGGAUUACUCCGAGUAAUGAUUGUAGGAGCUGGGAGUGCUCUCCAUGCCCUGCUAUGACUGCUUGCACUACAUUAGUCUCCCAACACAGGAACGAAAUAACCAAACUUGUAGGAUUCUCUUGGCAACGUUGUGUCUUUGUCGGUGAAAUUAGAGAAGACUGCAAAAAUGAACAGAUAAGG
This is a long non-coding RNA of Triticum aestivum (bread wheat), 2970 nucleotides long. RefSeq lists it as uncharacterized. Lineage: Eukaryota; Viridiplantae; Streptophyta; Magnoliopsida; Poales; Poaceae. The record is from RefSeq and is a predicted model, not a curated record. The transcript has 5 exons.